Hemibagrus wyckioides is the source of this 9033-nucleotide long non-coding RNA. RefSeq lists it as uncharacterized. The record is from RefSeq and is a predicted model, not a curated record. NCBI's taxonomy places the organism in Eukaryota, Metazoa, Chordata, Actinopteri, Siluriformes, Bagridae. The transcript is spliced from 2 exons.
CGAAGCUCGAGCAUCUUCAUCUGCAUCUGCAUCUCUCCAUCUCUCCACCUCUCCAGCCCUCCAUCUCCGGGCGCUCCAGCAGACUUGCCGUGGUUACAGCCACUCAUGGUAGAUAGGAGAAGGUGCCGGAGAUCAAACAGCUGUUGUGUCCAGAUGUCAUUCUCCUUCUCCUGUUGCUACAGACCUUUGUUCUCCUCUGAGUACAGGUGCAGCACCCCCAAACACACACACUCACACACAAAGAAAACAUGAUGAGGGCACGACGGCUGGCUUUGUGCUGUACACAUCAGCGCAUCGGUGGAGGAGAGACGACGAUGAUGGGGAGAGAGGACUGAAGGAGACAUGGGGCAGAAAAUAGGAGUAAAUAAAGAGAGAGAGAGAGAGAUGAAGAUAACUACUGAUGCUACUAAUACUACUACUACCACUAAUACUAAUACUGAUUCUACUGAUACUUCUAAUAAUACUAUUAGCAAUUGUGCUAUUACUACUACUAAUACUACUUGUGUAGUGAUGCUACUAACAUUACUACCAAUACUACUAAUACUACUUAUUCUACUGAUAAUACCACCAUUACUAUUAGCAGAAUUACUAAUACUACUGCUACUGAUUCUAUUGCUACUAAAACUACAACUAAUACUACUUUCUAGUAGUACUAAUACUAUUACUGAUGAUACUAACAUCACUACCAAUACUACCAAAUCCCAAUACCAAUAGUACUAUUACUAAUAAUACUAAUACAACUAUCAAUCCUACUACUGAUUCUAGCACUAUUAUCAUUGCUACUUCUACUGCUGUUACUACUACCACCACCAAUACCACUAUCAUUACUAAUACUUCUGAUUCUACUGCUACUACUACUAAUACUAUUAACAGAACUACUACUACUACUGCUGCUAGUGAUGCUACUAAGAUCAAUACUACUACUAAUACCACUACUAACAUCAAUACUACUACUACUACUACUACUGAUGCCACUAACAUCACUACCAAUACUACCAAUACUACUACCAAUACUCCUACUAAUACUACUACUGAUGCUACUACUGCUACUACCACCAAUACUAUUAUCAUUACUACUACUACUACUUAUUCUACUUCUUCUUCUUCUUCUACUUCUUCUUCUACUACUACUACUACUACUGAUGCCACUAACAUCACUACCAAUACUACCAAUACUACUACCAAUACUCCUACUAAUACUACUACUGAUGCUACUACUGCUACUACCACCAAUACUAUUAUCAUUACUACUACUACUACUUAUUCUACUUCUUCUUCUUCUUCUUCUUCUUCUUCUACUUCUUCUUCUUCUUCUACUACUACUACUACUACUACUACUACUACUACUACUACUACUACUACUACUACUACUACUACUACUACUACUACUACCACCAACUUCAAUACCCAAACCAAUAGGGGCGGUGGUGGCUCAAGUAGCUCAGGGUUGUUGACCAGAAGAUUGGGGGUUCAAGCCCCAGCACCGCCAAGUAGCCACUGUUGGGCCCUUGAGCAAGGCCCUUAACCCUCUCUGCUCCAGGGGCGCUGUAUCAUGGCUGACCCUGCGCUAUAACCCCAACCUCCAAGGAUGGGAUAUGCAAAGAAAGAAUUUCACUGUGCUAUUUCUUUUUUUCUCUUCAAUACUUUACUACUACUAAUACUACUACUGAUUCUACUACCAAUACCAUUAGCAGUACUACUAUUACUACUACUAAUGCCACUAACAUCACUACCAUUACUACCAAUACUCCUACGAAUACUACUCCUGAUGCUACUACUGCUACUACCAUCAAUACUACUACCAUUAAUACUACUUAUUCUACUGCUUCUACUACGACCAAUACUAUUAGCAGUAUUACUACUACUACUACUAACAUCAGUACCAAUACUGUUAGUACUACUAAUACUAUAACUGAUUCGACCACUACUAUCAUUACUACAACUAUGACUACCAAUACUCCUACUGAUGCUACUACUGCUACUACCACCAAUACUACUAUCAUCACCAAUACUACUACUACUACUACUGAUUCUACUACCAUUACUAUUAGCAAUACUACUACAUUACUACUAAUGCUAAAACUACUACUGACUCUACCACUACUAUCAUUACUGCUACUACUGAUUCGUGUAACACUACUACCAACAUAACUAAAUUUACUUUUACUACUACCAGCACUCCUGUUAACACUAGUGCUUAUGCUAAUAAAACUACUACCAUUACUACUCCCAAUACUGAUGCCACUACUACAGCUAGUACUUAACCUAGUAACACCCAAUGCCGCUCAUACUACUAUUACUGCUGCUUCGAUUACUCUACUAUUUCUACCUCUGCAGCUAUUCAUGCUAAUUCUAACACCACUGCUGCUUCUAAUGCUGCUGCUACGGCUGUUACUAAUAUCAAAUACUAGCGCUACUAACUCUAGUAAUACUAGCUCUACUUGGCCGAUGAUGAAGGCAGAAGAAGACUAGACAGAUUUCCACAUUUCUCGGUUGAGCUUCCUCUCUGGGUUUUUUUUUUGUGUGUGUGUGGAAAAAUAGGAACAGUGGAGUGUAAAUCCUCCCACACAGCCCUUCAAUUUCAGUAGGUAAAAAAAAUAAGGGGGGGGUGUUCAAAAACCGGCGAGAGAAAAAAGGCGGUAAAAGGCCGUUCCCCGCUGUGCGCCUGUGAGCGAGUGUGCUCAGGUAAUUAAGCGCUGCUUCGCUCGACCCUUCGUCAAGGCAAUUACCUAAAAUCAUAUGCUCUUAGCUGCUGUAAUUACGGGCCAAUCUGGCUGCACGGCGCUGACUGACAGCUCGGCAGCGGCCGCCACGUGUUUACGCCGCUGACGACAAAGCCGAUUACAGCGUGUAGUGUUACAUACGGUCAAAACACACGGCGCAAAGAAAACACGCACAUCAGACCAGAAUCCUUCUCAACACACGUAUCAGAAACACCGGAUUAUUCCAAAAUCCUGAUUUAAGGUCGCUUUGGGAAACAGGAAGUGGAUUUAUUUAUUUAUUUAAAAAAAAAUUUUGGUAGCCACAUUUUGUCCAGGUCAGAUAUUUGUUUCCAUCCAGUGGAGAGAUUUUCCAUUUGCACUGAGGACACGAGACUCAACAAAAUAAGGACGGAAAGAUGGGGGGAGAAUGAAAAAAAACAGGAAACAAAAUGAGAAUAAUACAAAAAGAGAUGGACGCAAGGAAGAGAGAGAAAAUACAAAGGAUUAAGGUAAAGAAAGUCGAAAAGGAAAGAAAGAAAUGAAAGCGCAUUAAAGGGGAAAAUGAGAGAAAGAAAGAAAGAAAGAAAGAGUAGUAAGUAAUAAUAAGGUCUAAAGUAACAAAAAGAGAAAGAAUGACAAAAGAGAGAGAACAGUCGGAAGCAAUACAUAAGGUGAGAGAGAGAGAGAGAGAGAGAGAGAGAGAAAUAAAAGAGUGAGACAGUCCUGAAUAACGAGCUGUGUGUGUGUGUCUCGCCUCAGGGGAAACACUCGAGUGCAGGUUGAGAGAAUGAAAUUAGUGAGAGACGAAUGCAGGUUGAGAGAGAGGGAGAGGGAGAGAGAGAGAGAGAUGGUGAGGGGUCAGACAGACACUUAUUAAAUUAAAGACACACAGGUGUCACAGCACAGCAUUCUGGGAAAGUGUUACUGAGGUCACAUGAUCAGAUGGUUUCAUUCCAGAAGAUUCUUUACACACAGUCGCCAUCAUCCUGAUGGGGUUUUUUACAUCCUUUAAAAAUCCUGUGAAGAACUUCUUCAUUGUUACAUCACUACUAGCAUAAGAAAUAAGAACACUAAUCAUGCUGCUAAUAGAGCUAGUAACACUGAUUACCACUACUGGCAAUACCACUAGUAACACUCACACAAAUACUCCUACCACUGCUGCUAGUACUACAAAUACUACUGCUGCUGCUGCUACUUUUACUAGCACUAUUAAUACUAACACUAUACUAACACUACCAUGAGCAACAUUACUAAUAUUACUACGACUAAUAUAGCUAUAACUACUGCCUGUAAUAAUGCUAGUACUAACCACACUAGUAUUAUUAGCACUAUUCCUGCUGCAACCUUUACCAGAAAUCCUAGUAAUCCAACUAGUCCUAUUAAUAUUAACACUGUACCUUCACUACCAUGAGCAAUAUUACUGCUAUUGCUACUACUACUACAGCUACUGCUAGUAAUAUUGCUAGUACUAACAAUGCUAAUAUUAUUAACACUUCUGCUGCUGUGGUUACUUUAAUACAACUAGUACUAUUAAUAUUAACACUACCAUGGGCAAUAUUACUAAUAUUAUUACUACUACUACAGCUAGCAAUAGUACUAGUACUUAUACAGCUAUGAUUACUGCUAGUAACAGUGCAACAAUUCUAGUAUUAUUAACACUAUUACUGCUGCAACUAAUGCAACUAGUACUAUUAAUACGAACACUACUAACACUACCAUGAGUAAUAUUACUGCUAAUGCUGCUAACUACAGCUACGGAUAUUACUGUUGCUAAUACUGAUAUCGCUAGUACAAAUAAUGCUAAUAUUGCUGCUACUAUUACUGUUACUAGUUAAGUUGCUGCUGCUGCUGCUGAUGAUGAUAAAAUAAUUAAAAGAAAUAUUAAAUAAUAUAAUCAUACUGCUAGUGUCCAGUCGCUGUCACUGAGUGAACUAUUUUUAGUGUUAGCAUUACUGUUACAUUCAUCAUAUUCACACAUGAGGUAAAUUUCUGAGGUAAAAAAAAAAACCCUUCACACUUUGGGUUGCUAGACGUAGCAGAACCUGUGGAGGAUUCAUAAGCAGCCAGUGAUUUAAAAACACGUCUGAGGGAAAUGUUGAUGUUCCGGAUGUUUCUGCCUCACUUUCACUGUCAAUUUGUGUUUUUAUUGUUGAUGAAAAAGACUUAAAGCCGAUGUUCUAGCUAGAUUAAUUAUUAGCCUAAGUGAUUAACCUGCUGUCCAUAUGUCUCAGUUGCCUAGCAACAAUGUUCUUGUAAUAUUUAAGCACUUGAUCAGUGCAUCAUGAAUUCACUAGACGUACUAUAUUUGAAUUAAAUGCUAAAUGCUAAUGAGUUGAGAUAUCCUGCUAACUAAACAUACACCCAUACAGCACUGGAGUGUUUAAAGCUUAGCAUGGCUAACUGCAGAACUCUUUUUCAAGAUUUAAUCAGCCUCGUAUGUGUUAUUUACGAUGGAUUCUGCUAAACCAGUAAAACGAAGCUAGCAAGCGCGGACUGACACGCAAAGGUUAUGAUCCCCUCGCUAGCUUAAAAAAAAACUUUUUCAUCGCCACAUCGUAUUCGAGUCAGCGGCACUGACGGCGUAAUUGGACAUUAGUCUCGAUUCAGAUGGCACGAGAGUCGAGCUAAACGCCCGGACGCAGAUCUUUUCCCUUUCUUUCAGUCCGUACAUUUAAUUUCUCCAAUUGUAGGGAAUAAAAGGAGUCCAUCCUGUUGUGAAGAGCAUAAUUUAAGCGCUCUUAAUAAAGCACCGCUGUUCAUUACCGAGCCCAUUAUUUCCAGGCUGGACGAGAAAAAAAAAAAAAACGACCCGUCUCACCUCGCCGUCACUUUUUUUUUUCCUUCCCGGAAAUCUGGAGUAAAUGUGUAAGUGCAUGCAGAGACAGGUUCGGCUACUUAGCAAGGGGGGAGAAAACGAGAGCGGAGAGCUCAGGCGAACUCGGAAGCCUAUUAGGGCUAAUAUGUUUUUUUAAUGGGAAAGCCGCGGUUGAUCUGAACUCAUUUGCUUCGUCCGGGGCCGAGCUCUGAAAGCAAUCCGUCACCUCCGUGUGAGGCCGAGCCGCGCUCCUAAUGAGCCUCUCGGUCCAAAAAAGAGGGACGAAAGAAUUGAGCUGUCACGGCUCUCAAUGGCCACGUCGGCACAAUUGUGGCCCUGGCACUCGGUCGUCGUGUCUCUUUGUGUGCGUUUAGCCAAGCAAGGCCUUAUACAAAAUGAAUGGGACGAAUGUAACCUUAACUUCGGCAGACACACGCGCCACUGACGGGGUCGACCGUGAUCAAAACGUCAAAACACUGCUUUAAAAAACACUUUUUGAAAGAAAAAAAGAGUGUGUAUGUGUGUGUGUGAGAGAGAGAGAGAGAGAGAGAGAGAGAGAGAGCGAGACAGAGAAAAGAUAGAUGAAUAAAGAAAGCAAUAGGGGAGGGGGGAAAAGAUGAAAAAAGAGUACGCUGGAGAGAACAGUAAAACUGAACUGAGAGUAAGACAAAUGAAGACACAAAAAGAGACAAGAAAGAAAUGAAAAGACAAACUGAGAGAGAAAAAUGAGAUUAGGAGAAAAAGAUAAACAGGUUAGUCAGGAAGAUGAAAUGAAAAGAGAAUAAGAUAUAAACAAAGAAGAAUGAGAGAAAAAAGAGAGAGUGUGUGUGUGUGUGUGAGAGAGAGAGAGAGAGAGAGAGAGAGAGAGAGGUGAGAAAGCAGAUCAAAAACAGAGGAGGACAGGAAAGAGGGAAAAGAGAGACGAAAAGAGAUCACGACAGUGAGAGGAAGAGAGCAGGAUGAAACGGGAGUGAGUAGAAGAAGAAACAAAAAAGACAGAAGGAGAAGAAAAAAAGAAGGAGUAAAUAGUAGAAGAGAGAAAAACGUGUGUUUAUCCUGCUGGAUUGUGGACAGUGUGAAGCUCAAGUCGGGACUUUUAGCAUCUUAGCACUCUAGCCAUGACUCAGCAUUUUAGCUUCUGAUCCUGGUUUAUCGCUCGCUUUAUCAGUUCACUGCGACGUCCUCCGAUUUAUUUAGCACUAAAUUAACUCUAGAAGUUUUCUACACCUAGGAGUUUGUCAGCUCUACCCUGUCUGCUAGGUUUGAUAUAAAAUCUUAUGAAUGCUAAAAUUAGCGCUUCCUCCAUUUUGAAUCUGAGUUUGAAGGCCCGCCCCUUCAGAGGUCAGAACAGAGAAAACACAUUUCAUAUUUCCUUUGUCAGAUUUAACGUUCUUUUAAACACAGAGUGAUGACUAGCACACAAGGUCUGAGAAGCAGCAGAAAAGGUCGGAGGGUAAGUGUGUUUUUAUUGUGUUUCAGAAAACCGCAGGACACCGUGAUGGAGACGAGAGACAGACAGAGUGUGUGAGGACAAGAGAGAAAGAGAGAGAGUGAGAGAGGGGGGGAGAGAGAUGGGGGUGAAAGACAGAGAAAUGUGUCAUGUCUUUCAGAGGAACAACACACUCUUCCGUCUCUACUCAAAUGUCACUAAAGGUCUAAGGGGUGUGUGUGUGUGUGUGUGUGUGUGAGAGAGAGAGAAAGAAAUCCUACAUCAAGACAUUCACUCUAUCUCUCUCUCUCCCUUCCAUAUAUCUCUGUCUCCAUCAGUUUUAAUAAAAGAAGCGUAGCCUGUGUGUCUUUCAGUUUUGGUAAAGAAGGCGUGGCCUGAGUGCUUGUCAGUCUCAGUGAUGGAGGAGUGGUCUGCGUACCUGUCAGUUGUAGAGAAAGAAGUGUGUCCUGUGUGUCUUUCAGUUGCACUAAAGAAGGUGUGGCCUCUGUACCUGUCAGUCAGAGUGAAAGAGGUGUGGCCUCUGUACCUGUCAGUCAUAAUGAAAGAGAAACGGACUCUGUACCUGUCAGUCAUAAUGAAAUAGGCGUGGCCUCUGUACAUGUCAAUCAGAUUGAAAGAGGCGUGCCCUUUGUACUUGUCAGUCAGAGUGAAAGAGGCAUGGCCUCUGUACCUGUCAGUCAGAGUGAAAGAGGCGUGGCCUCAGUACCUAUCACUCAGAGUAAAAGAGGCGUGGCCUCAGUACCUAUCAGUCAUAAUGAAAGAGACAUGGACUCUGUACCUGUCAGUCAUAAUGAAAUAGGCGUGGCCUCUGUACAUGUCAAUCAGAUUGAAAGAGGCGUGCCCUUUGUACUUGUCAGUCAGAGUGAAAGAGGCAUGGCCUCUGUACCUGUCAGUCAGAGUGAAAGAGGCGUGGCCUCAGUACCUAUCACUCAGAGUAAAAGAGGCGUGGCCUCAGUACCUAUCAGUCAUAAUGAAAGAGACAUGGACUCUGUACCUGUCAGUCAUAAUGAAAUAGGCGUAGCCUCUGCACAUGUCAAUCAGAGUGAAAGAGGUGUGGCCUCUUUAACUGUCAGUCAUAAUGAAAGAGGUGUAGCCUUUGUACAUGUCAAUCAGAGUGAAAGAGGCGGGGCCACUGUACCUGUCAGGCAUAAUGAAAGAGACGUGGCCUCUGUGGGUUGUCCUGGUGCAGUAACUGUGACCUUCAUUCCUAAGUAAGGUGACAUUCCUGAUGACAGGGGGCGUGGCUUUCCACUCUUCAAAUCUAAUACAUUGUCUGUUAAAAAAUAAAUCAUGUAGUCACGUAGUGUGAGGUGAAACAGCUGUAAAGUCUCUCAUGCCGAGUGAUUAACUGUGUAAAUGUUUAUCUCUUCCUCCGAGCUGCUGAUCACCGAGUGAAGCUUUAAAACUCGACCCGGACGCCGUGGAAGACUAGUGAUUUUGUUGUUGUACAUUUUCUGCUUUGACAACAAAUCACAGUCUACCUCAGCGCUCAGGUCCUUUCUCCCCAGCACACACACACACACACACACACACACACAGCUACAGAGCAGAGGUAAGCACGGCUGAUAAAACAGUAUACUUUAUCAUACAACAACUUGUCUAUGUGUUUUGUUGUACAGUGAAAUCUCAGUGUGUACACGCGUACUGCACAAUAAAGACAAAUAAUAAUUCAUAUAGCCAUUGUUUAAAUAAAUAACAUGGUGCUACACAGACUGUUUAGAGUUUAAUAGUGUAUAACAUAAUAACUUAAUUUCCAUUCUUUUCUCUCCUUGCUGUUUAUAUUUCCUGUUUUUCUCAGUAAGAAGAAGUCACUGAAGAAUUUGCUUUAAAAAAAAACAAAUUAAUUCAACUGUUUUAAAACAAGACCUCGUGGCGUGUGGGAGGCCGAGGCGGCCUCGAGCUCUACACCCUUACUCAUUUACUCACAAUUGCUUUGAUGAAUUUAUUCAUAUUUUUGUUUUUAAAAUGCUAAUUAUUAAUAUUGUGUGUGUGUGUGUGUGUGUGUGAGAGAGAGAGAUAGAGAGAGAGCAAGAGAGAGAGAUUUUAAUAAAAUAUUUAUGGUCACA